AGUAACACGUAGGUAAUCUACCUUCGGGUGGGGAAUAACAACCGGAAACGGUUGCUAAUACCGCAUAAUGCAGCGGCACCUAAUGGUGACAGUUGUUAAAGCGGGGGAUCGAAAGAUCUCGCGCCUGAAGAGGAGCCUGCGGCGGAUUAGCUAGUUGGUAGGGUAACGGCCUACCAAGGCGACGAUCCGUAGCCGGCCUGAGAGGGCGGUCGGCCACACUGACACUGACAUACGGGUCAG
RNAcentral lists this ribosomal RNA (240 nucleotides) under uncultured bacterium. RNAcentral's name for it is "partial 16S ribosomal RNA". It matches the Rfam family "Bacterial small subunit ribosomal RNA", at positions 109 to 334 of the family's 1533-position model. The record is from RNAcentral.